Molecule: ribosomal RNA, 840 nt
Filed under: uncultured organism
Description: SSU rRNA
Rfam family: Bacterial small subunit ribosomal RNA
Source: RNAcentral
UUGACUUGAGGAGGGUAGGGGAGAAUGGAAUUCCUGGUGGAGCGGUGGAAUGCGCAGAUAUCAGGAGGAACACCAGUGGCGAAGGCGGUUCUCUGGGCCUUUCCUGACGCUGAGGAGCGAAAGCGUGGGGAGCGAACAGGCUUAGAUACCCUGGUAGUCCACGCUGUAAACGGUGGGUACUAGGUGUGGGGUCCAUUCCACGGGUUCCGUGCCGUAGCUAACGCUUUAAGUACCCCGCCUGGGGAGUACGGCCGCAAGGCUAAAACUCAAAGGAAUUGACGGGGCCCCGCACAAGCGGCGGAGCAUGCGGAUUAAUUCGAUGCAACGCGUAGAACCUUACCUGGGUUUGACAUGGAUCGGGAGUGCUCAGAGAUGGGUGUGCCUCUUUUGGGGUCGGUUCACAGGUGGUGCAUGGCUGUCGUCAGCUCGUGUCGUGAGAUGUUGGGUUAAGUCCCGCAACGAGCGCAACCCUUGUUCACUGUUGCCAGCACGUUAUGGUGGGGACUCAGUGGAGACCGCCGGGGUCAACUCGGAGGAAGGUGGGGAUGACGUCAAGUCAUCAUGCCCCUUAUGUCCAGGGCUUCACGCAUGCUACAAUGGCUGGUACAGAGAGUGGCGAGCCUGUGAGGGUGAGCGAAUCUCGGAAAGCCGGUCUCAGUUCGGAUUGGGGUCUGCAACUCGACCUCAUGAAGUCGGAGUCGCUAGUAAUCGCAGAUCAGCAACGCUGCGGUGAAUACGUUCCCGGGGCUUGUACACACCGCCCGUCAAGUCAUGAAAGUUGGUAACACCCGAAGCCGGUGGCCUAACCGUUGUGGGGGAGCCGUCGAAGGUGGGACUGGU